Molecule: unclassified non-coding RNA, 1138 nt
Filed under: Hevea brasiliensis (rubber tree)
Lineage: Eukaryota; Viridiplantae; Streptophyta; Magnoliopsida; Malpighiales; Euphorbiaceae
Source: RNAcentral
GUGUUGCCCAGUUGUAGAAUGCCCCAAGUUUUGGAAUUGUAAUGAUGUACUUCUUUGGUUUUAUAUAUGACCUAUGCUCAAUACGUAAAAAGAGUGCUUUUCUGGGACCAAGUUUGCAGAGUCAUGAUUUUAAGUGAGAUCAUUAUGCAAUUUAGCUAUUAGUUUGUAGUGUUUUAGAAUGUUUCUAUAGUACUGGGGAGAUAGAAGUCCAGCAGAGGACUGUAUAUCAGUGUUCAAAGUAAUCUAUAUAAGUGUCUGAAGACCUUAAAAGUUUACUGGAGGUUGCAGUAUAGUAUUGAAUUAUCGAGGUAAGUCCAGUCAUCUCUUGUGGUAGUCUGGUUAAAUAAGUGCUCUCCAUGCUUAAGUAUCUAUGCUAGCUAAGUAGGGAUUUCUCUUUGUAGACAAUGAACUAAUGAAGAAGAAGAAGAAACAGAAAGAGGAUGUGGGAGAAGAAUUGUUUAAUUAUUUCCUCAAGCAUCUAGGGAAUGGGGUAUAUAUACACUUAGAGAUAAACUAAGUAUAGAAGGUUACAAUCAAUUGCAUAAUUACAGCACAUAAUCACUCACAUGGUUAUAGCAUACAACUACUCACAUGAUUACAGUAAUCAUAUAGCUAGCAUUCUAACACUCUUCUUCUGCACUGACAUUGAAUUGUUUGUUUUUAGUUAGUCUGUCUUGUGAAGCUCUGACCUUUUCCUUUUUCUCUUUAUUUCACAAAAGCUAGUGACUUACAAGAUUUUCCACCAGAGUUUUUGACUUGUAAGAAAGUCAAGUCUGCUAGGUGUUAUGUUGGGCCUGGAGUUUACAUGAUGGCUCUCUUUUGUGCCAUAUUGGUAUCAUAUUCAAGUUCUGAACAUCCUUUAUUUGGCAGUGAUCACAGGAUGGAACAGUAGAUGUCUCAACAUACUAGUUUCCAUGAAAUUUUUGUAGAAGUUAUUCAUGUCAUAUAUUCUCUUAUCCCUAUAAGUGGUUUGACUGUAGAUGCUUUUGGUUUUUUAUUUCCUUUUGUAUCUUCUCCCUUUCAAUCUUCUUCAAACUGAAAACCUUCGUAAUUGGAGUUAAAAAUCUAUCAAAACAUAAAAGAAUGCCUUUCAAUCUGGAAUCUUGUCAAACCCUUCUUCUGUUCUUUCUCAGGCGGA